UGAUUCAUAUUUCAAGCACUUACGAAUGAUUUGUGAAAUCUUGUUUGCAGGAAGUUGCACACCCGGUGAAGGAAAAAUCGCGAGGGAAAACUGACUUCAAUCCCGAUUGUUAAUGUCGUUGUCAAAAAAGAUGAGAGUCACUACAGUGUUUCUUGUUGCCAUCGUUCUUAUUGCUAUGGAGAAAGUAUUCGAAACAAGAGGACGUGGUGGUGGGAUAUCCAAUGUACCGGAGUUAUGUCUCCAUCUCGGAGCAAGGAGCUGUGAGGGUUACCUAUGAGAGAGAAAGGCUGCUGGAUGACAAAGGAAAUUUGUGUUUGGAUACAUCAGCAGGGCGUCAGACUAUGUAGGAAGGAAUCAAAGACAACUUGGUUGACUUGCGAACCACAGUGAAGUACAAAAAUGGAGAAACGAAAACACUACAUGGAGUCAACAAAACAGUGUCCCUUGAAGACACCAAGGAUCAAGGCUUCGAAGUUUCGCUCGAUAAAACACCUUCAUUGUUACCGGAACAACUUGUAAGCAGGUGGAAAAGACCAUUGAAGGUACGAUGGUCAUCUUGUACGAGACAAAUCCGAACGGCUCAGGCCAACUUAGCAUCGACAAAAAGCUACUAUUUUCUUUAGUUACUUUGUUUUUGUUUAUUAACACGUUUAGUUAUUCUUAGUUAGUGUCCAUGAAACAUCUUUAAGCUUUUUCACUAGCUAGUAAGUGUGGUUGAAAAUGAAAAUAUGCGGCCCACCAUUUUCGCACAAGCUGGUGGUGAGAUAGGACACGAUUUACAUUUAAUUAUUAUAAGUAUAUUCUAGUUGUUUUUGGUGAAAUGUAGUGAUACCAAUGGCAUUUAAUUCACAGUCGGUAAAAAGGUUUUCAUUUUUCAAGCACCAUUUACGUAGGAAUUUAAAAUUUUCCCAAUAGAGACUGUGAAAACACGAUGUGCAGGCGUGACAAAACACAUGCACGAUUUAUAUUCAUGACGUUUAAGUUAUUUUGCAUGACGGAACCUCGAACAGCGAAACAAAGUAAUGCGGUCUACUUCAACAGGAAGCUGCUUAAUUCAAGGUCUUAAAAACCCCUAACAAUAACUUUGUAGAUCUUUAUUUAUGAUCAAAUGAGAAGAUAGGUAAUUGGAUGCUAAGGCCUCUUAUUCGAGUUUCAAAGCCGAUGCACUUUGGUAUAAAUAAUCAUCAUAGUUGUCAUCAUUUUCACCAAUACCAAGCUAAUAACAAUGAUGUUCCCUUAUCUUGCUUUCUCUUGCGAUUUAGGAACUAUUGGAGGUUUUGGGUAUUUUGUGUGCAAAGUUAGAUUCAUUCUUCCUUUUUGACCAUUUACUACCAACUGUUCAAAAUAUUAGUGACGAGAAACUUGAAACCUGCUUUAAUUUAAGUUAUUGGAAAAAAUACAAAUAUUGCUUCGAGUCAAGUUUCAUUUCAAUAUGAAAAUUAUCAUACUUUUUGCGUCUUUACUGCUCGUAGACUAAAUCACUGUCAGUCUUGCAUUUUAAAGGGCUUUGACUGUAAGCUCCUUCCAAUGAGUAAUGUAGGAAAAGAGCCCAGGUAUACGUAAAAGGUGAACAAAUGAAAAUAUGCUGCAGCAUUAUGUGAGUGAGCAAACAUUGUUAUCUCUGGGACUAUGAUAUUGUUAAGCAUAAGCAGCGGGGAUACGCAAUUUGACAGUAAAUACAGUCUUUGUAUGUAAAGACAGUUCAUUUAUUACGCUCGUUAACUAACGCAAGCAAAUUAAAAAGUACGCUAUUGAUCUUCAA
RNAcentral lists this long non-coding RNA (1762 nucleotides) under Pocillopora damicornis (cauliflower coral). Its description in RNAcentral is "uncharacterized LOC113675109". Lineage: Eukaryota; Metazoa; Cnidaria; Anthozoa; Scleractinia; Pocilloporidae. The record is from RNAcentral.